GUGGGGAAUCUUGCGCAAUGGGCGAAAGCCUGACGCAGCCAUGCCGCGUGAAUGAUGAAGGUCUUAGGAUUGUAAAAUUCUUUCACCGGGGACGAUAAUGACGGUACCCGGAGAAGAAGCCCCGGCUAACUUCGUGCCAGCAGCCGCGGUAAUACGAAGGGGGCUAGCGUGGCUCGGAAUUACUGGGCGUAAAGGGCGCGUAGGCGGACAGUUUAGUCAGAGGUGAAAGCCCAGGGCUCAACCUUGGAAUUGCCUUUGAUACUGGCUGUCUUGAGUACGGGAGAGGUGAGUGGAACUCCGAGUGUAGAGGUGAAAUUCGUAGAUAUUCGGAAGAACACCAGUGGCGAAGGCGACUCACUGGCCCGUUACUGACGCUGAGGCGCGAAAGCGUGGGGAGCAAACAGGAUUAGAUACCCCAGUAGUCC
This 425-nucleotide ribosomal RNA is filed under the name uncultured bacterium. Its description in RNAcentral is "partial 16S ribosomal RNA". It matches the Rfam family "Bacterial small subunit ribosomal RNA", at positions 354 to 796 of the family's 1533-position model. The record is from RNAcentral.